This 497-nucleotide ribosomal RNA is filed under the name uncultured bacterium. Its description in RNAcentral is "partial 16S ribosomal RNA". It matches the Rfam family "Bacterial small subunit ribosomal RNA", at positions 28 to 507 of the family's 1533-position model. The record is from RNAcentral.
GAUGAACGCUGGCGGCGUGCCUAAUACAUGCAAGUCGAGCGAACAGACGAGGAGCUUGCUCCUCUGACGUUAGCGGCGGACGGGUGAGUAACACGUGGAUAACCUACCUAUAAGACUGGGAUAACUUCGGGAAACCGGAGCUAAUACCGGAUAAUAUAUUGAACCGCAUGGUUCAAUAGUGAAAGACGGUUUUGCUGUCACUUAUAGAUGGAUCCGCGCCGCAUUAGCUAGUUGGUAAGGUAACGGCUUACCAAGGCAACGAUGCGUAGCCGACCUGAGAGGGUGAUCGGCCACACUGGAACUGAGACACGGUCCAGACUCCUACGGGAGGCAGCAGUAGGGACUCUUCCGCAAUGGGCGAAAGCCUGACGGAGCAACGCCGCGUGAGUGAUGAAGGUCUUCGGAUCGUAAAACUCUGUUAUUAGGGAAGAACACAUGUGUAAGUAACUAUGCACGUCUUGACGGUACCUAAUCAGAAAGCCACGGCUAACUACGUG